AGAUUUACUGUUGUCUGCUACACGCCAAGCAUGGCUCUAUUCACCACGGAUGCAAUAAUGAAUUAGAAACACCUCUGUGCCAAAAAGCUCAUAUUCUACAGGGAGGAGGGGAAUCAUAAACAGAUAAUUAGAAACAACCUGCUGGUGCAGUCAUAGAAGUAUGCCUGUGGAAAUACGCAACUACCAAGCAAGAGAACUUCACCUGACUUGGGGAUUUGAGGAAGACUUCCUGUUGGACAUAAUGAUGGAGAUGAUAUUAGCAAUGAAAGCAACUGGUCAUGCCGAUGAAAUGUGUACAAGUGAAACCUGAACCACAUUGGAUACGUAGCUGCUCAUGGAGACAUCCCAUAAAAAGUCUAAUUGGUGGAAUCCCCAAAUUGACAAGAG
Molecule: long non-coding RNA, 387 nt
Filed under: Equus asinus (donkey)
Lineage: Eukaryota; Metazoa; Chordata; Mammalia; Perissodactyla; Equidae
Description: lncRNA (ENSEASG00005030716.1)
Source: RNAcentral